GAUGAACGCUGGCGGCGUGCCUAAUACAUGCAAGUCGAGCGAACGGACGAGAAGCUUGCUUCUCUGAUGUUAGCGGCGGACGGGUGAGUAACUCGUGGAUAACCUACCUAUAAGAAUGGGAUACCUUCGGGAAACAGUAGCUAAUACCGGAUAAUAUUUUGCACCGCAUGGUUCCAACGUGAAAGACGGUCUUGGUGUCAGUAAUAGCUGGCCCCGGGCUGCAUUAGUUAGUUGGUAAGGUAACGGAUUACCAAGGCAACGAGGCAUAGCCGACCUGAGAGCGUGAUCGGCCACACGGUAACUGAGACACGGUCCAGACUCCUACGGGAGGCAGCAGUAGGGAAUCUUCCGCAAUGGGCGAAAGCCUGACGGUGCACCGCCGCGUGAGUGAUGAAGGUCUUCGGAUCGUAAAACUCUGUUAUUAGGAAAGAACAUAUGUGUAAGUAACUGUGCACAUCUUGACGGUACCGAAUCAGAAAGCCACGGCUAACUACGUG
This 497-nucleotide ribosomal RNA is filed under the name uncultured bacterium. Its description in RNAcentral is "partial 16S ribosomal RNA". It matches the Rfam family "Bacterial small subunit ribosomal RNA", at positions 28 to 507 of the family's 1533-position model. The record is from RNAcentral.